CGAUGGCGACCGGCGCACGGGUGAGUAACGCGUAUGCAACCUGCCCGAUACCGGGGUAUAGCCCAUGGAAACGUGGAUUAACACCCCAUAGUACUUUUAUCCUGCCUGGGAUGGGAGUUAAAUGUUCAAGGUAUCGGAUGGGCAUGCGUCCUAUUAGUUAGUUGGCGGGGUAACAGCCCACCAAGACGAUGAUAGGUAAGGGUUCUGAGAGGAAGGUCCCCCACAUUGGAACUGAGACACGGUCCAA
This 247-nucleotide ribosomal RNA is filed under the name uncultured bacterium. RNAcentral's name for it is "partial 16S ribosomal RNA". It matches the Rfam family "Bacterial small subunit ribosomal RNA", at positions 86 to 334 of the family's 1533-position model. The record is from RNAcentral.